Molecule: RNA transcript, 2833 nt
Organism: Carassius carassius (crucian carp)
Lineage: Eukaryota; Metazoa; Chordata; Actinopteri; Cypriniformes; Cyprinidae
Gene: slc1a2a
Gene name: solute carrier family 1 member 2a
Exons: 11
Source: RefSeq, a predicted model, not a curated record
GCAGCACCUCUUUGCCCAUUUCGCUAGUACUAAUGGUGGGAUAAGAUCAAUUCAAAGGCAGAGGAUUGUGCAUGGAAUCUCUUAUGCGUCAAUUUGAUUGAUCUUGCAAGGAAGUGUUGCUGAUUGCAUCAAAGCAAUCACUUAUUAUAUUGCUGUUCACCUGGUGCUUGGAGUUUUGACUGACCUUUCUAAUGACCUGGACUGGAUUUCCUGAUGGAUAAACUGUAGAUUGACAGUGUUUCAUUCAGAGCCAUUACUAUAGCCCAUGGCUAGCAAGCUGCUGUGAAACUCUUCCUUUUCAGUAUCUGCACUAAAACAGUGCCAACAAAAUGCAGAAGCAAGUGGAGAUCAGAAUGCAUGAGAGUCAUCUGGACCUUCCUCCACUGCCUGAAAACUCCAUGUGUGGAGGCUUCUGUGACAAAAUCAUGAAUCAUCUGUUACUUACGCUCACAGUUUUUGGUGUGAUCACUGGUUCAGUAGCUGGUAUUCUACUGCGUUACGCAUCACCACUCCCCGCUGAUGUUAUAAUGGUCAUUGCCUUUCCGGGUGACAUUCUCAUGAGGAUGUUAAAAAUGGUGAUUUUGCCUCUGAUCAUCUCAAGUUUGAUCACAGGAUUAGCAGGGUUGGAUGCCAAGUCCAGUGGUCGUCUGGGCACAAGGGCCAUGGUGUAUUACAUGUCUACCACCAUCAUCGCAGCUGUGUUGGGAGUGAUCUUAGUGCUCCUCAUCCACCCUGGUAACCCCAAACUGAAGGCAAACUUGGGCGAAGGCAAAAAGAACGACGAAGUGUCCAGUUUAGAUGCCUUCUUUGAUCUCAUCAGAAAUCUCUUUCCAGAAAAUCUCGUUCAGGCUUGUUUUCAGCAGAUCCAGACUGUUACUAACAAGGUAGAAGUAGCUCCUCCUCCAAAUCCAACUCGGUUUGGACGAAAUGCUACCAAGGGGGCAGCAAAAUAUGUAAUCAAGAAGUCUCUUCAAUUUAAGAGUGGCAUGAAUGUUUUAGGUCUCAUUGGGUUCUUUGUGGCGUUUGGGAUUUGCAUGGGAAAGAUGGGAGAAAGGGCCAAGCUGAUGCUUGAGUUCUUCAAUGUUCUCAACGAGAUCGUUAUGAGGCUUGUCGGCGCAAUCAUGUGGUAUUCCCCCAUUGGGAUUGCAUGUCUGAUCUGUGGGAAGAUCAUUUCAAUUAAUGAUUUGGAAGUGGUGGCCAAGCAGCUGGGAAUGUACAUGGUCACUGUUAUCAUUGGACUUAUUAUUCACGGAGCCAUUUUCCUUCCAUUAAUAUAUUUUGUUAUUGUUCGGAAAAACCCAUUCACAUUCUUCAUGGGAAUUUUUCAGGCAUGGGUCACUGCUUUAGGAACAGCUUCGAGUGCUGGGACAUUACCUGUUACUUUCCGCUGUCUGGAGGAAAAUCUGGGCAUUGACAAGAGAGUGACUCGAUUUGUGUUACCUGUUGGAGCAACGAUCAACAUGGAUGGUACAGCACUUUAUGAGGCCGUAGCAGCCAUCUUUAUUGCCCAGAUGAAUGGAAUAGAACUCGAUCCUGGUCAAAUCGUGACAGUCAGCCUUACAGCGACUCUCGCUAGCGUAGGAGCUGCCAGUAUUCCUAGUGCUGGUCUGGUGACGAUGCUUCUGAUCUUGACAGCUGUGGGACUACCGACUCAAGACAUCAGUUUACUGGUAGCAGUCGACUGGCUACUGGACCGUUUCCGAACAUCCGUCAAUGUCGUUGGUGACUCAUACGGGGCUGGAAUUGUGUACCACCUCUCCAAAGAUGAGCUCGACAUGUUUGAUGCACAGCAGAUAAGGCCAGAUGACUUUGAGAUGGCCAAGAAACAAUCCUUCUUUGAGAAUAACACUAACAACGGUGUAUAUGCAUCUCACAACUCCUGUCAGCUGGUCCAAAUAGAUGACUGCAAGGUACAUUUUACUCUCACAGACAUAGAAACCUGUAUGUAGAUGCUUUUAUUUAUUUCCCCGACAUUGUAUAUACCAUUGUUAUAUUUUUUUAUUUGAUUUUUUUGACACUUUUUGUAUUUUUUGGUCAUUCCUGAUGUGAAAGCAUAAGAUGUUAAACAGAAUGAAGGAAUAAUUUAAUAUGGUUUAUUUAUUUGUUCUAGUACUUGGUGAAAUAGCAGUUUUGCAUAGACUUUGUAUAUCCAUAUCAGUAUUUGGACAUCAUCAAUUUGGCAAUUAUACAUGUGCACAGUAAAUCCUUCAAAUGUUUGUAUAGUACUAGUGCUAAGAUGCCUUUGGCUGCUCUCUCUCUCUCAAAAAAAAAUUAAAAAAAAAAAAAAAAAUAUGAAAGUUUAACAAAGCAGUGCAUUAAGGCACACCUCAAUUUUGCCAUCUACAUUUUGAGAUGACGGCUGCUAUUUCAUUUCUUUCAACUUCAGUGUUUUUAAGCUUCACAUGAAAGUGUUUGUUUCCAUCAUUAAGAGAACUGCAGUUGUUUUCUUUCUUUUUUGUAAGUUUUAAGCCUCUUUUUGACCCUGUGUUUCACAAAUGCAUAGGUCUGUGGGGUAGCUCGCGUGGCACUUUUUCACAACCCCUUUAGAAGAUUAGAUUUGGGCAGAGAUUCACUGUAAUUAGCAAAAAAAAUAAUAAUAAUAAUUAUUAAAAUACAAAGUUUGUAUUUACAAUAUAUAACAUUUCAAAUGAUUUUCUCUAUCUGUAUUCAGUCUUUCAGCAUUCUGUAAGGAAUCCCGCUGCAGCUAAUAAUUAUCUGUCUUGUGGUAACCUUGGCCUCAAAUGGCUCCCCUGCGGAGUUCUCACUUGUUGAGGAGGAACCAUGGAUACACGAGUAACACAGCACACAGAUCCAGCUCCGCCUUAUCCUGAGU